Conger conger (European conger) is the source of this 1096-nucleotide long non-coding RNA. RefSeq lists it as uncharacterized. The transcript has 4 exons. Lineage: Eukaryota; Metazoa; Chordata; Actinopteri; Anguilliformes; Congridae. The record is from RefSeq and is a predicted model, not a curated record.
GAAGCUAUUCUCUCUCCCUUCUGAAAGGGAUAAUCUCUCUCCCUCUAAAAGACAACCAUUUUGCUUACAAAUUGACCAAAAACAAAAUGAUCUUUUUUCUUUCAUUUUUUGUGGGAUAUUUUUGUUUAUCCCAUGGGCAAACAACACCAGAUCUAAUGGGAUCAACCACUGAACCAAUGUUUGGGGAGGAAUUGGGUUCUGGAUUCUCACCUUUUCCAGUCUCACUUCCAGUAGUUAUUGGACUGCGGUUGUCUGUCAAAUCCUCAGUUGAACUUAAUUCUGUGACAAUUGAACGAUUUCUGCAACAGAUCAUGAAUUCAUUUCAGCUAUUUAAUGGAACCUUUGAAAUCGCUGUGAAAAAUAUAACACGUAUCACACCAGACUAAACCAUAAUAACAACAGGAUCACAACACAACAUUUGUAAUUUGUGCAGUCAUGUGAAUGAUAUUGUAAUUUUGUUUUAGCCAUUUUGUAUGCUCUGAUUAUUUUUUAUUUAUAUUAACAUGUACUACUGCAAAAAAUAUGCUACUGGCUAUAUGUUUAAAUUAAUUAAUUCAUAGUAAAGGCUGCCCCAAAAUGACUAAUGUAUAAAUUCAGUUAGUUUAUGACCCACAAUUUUUUGUGUAAUAGGACAUGAUAUAGCCUUAUAUAUGCCAUAGACUGUAAUGACACUUAUAUAGUUGUAUAGAUAUUGUUGUUUUUUGUAUUAGCUAUUGUAUUGUUGUACUCAGAGUAUUCUAGCUGCCAACUGUGGUAUGCUAGUUUGGAAGUUGAUGUAUUCUUCAAGGGUUCCGAUUAUAUCUGUAUGGUUACACUAGGACUCGGAACUGUACUGUCCUCUCAGGUCCUCUUCACACUUGUACUUGUGUUUGAUCUGCACUUCGUUGUACGUCGCUCUAGAUAAGAGCGUCUGCUAAAUGCCAUGCAAUGUAAUGUAAUGUAAUAUAAAAAUAUGUGUAAAAUGGACAGAUUCAAUGAUUAUAUGAAACUUUAGACUGUAUAAUGUCUACAUUGCACUUGUUAUGAACAUAGCUCUUUUCUUUCUUUCUAUUUCUGUGGCCGCAAAAAUAGAAUGUGAAGAAUCAUGAUGACUACA